GACGAACGCUGGCGGCGUGCUUAACACAUGCAAGUCGAACGGAAAGGCCCUGCUUUUGUGGGGUGCUCGAGUGGCGAACGGGUGAGUAACACGUGAGUAACCUGCCCUUGACUUUGGGAUAACUUCAGGAAACUGGGGCUAAUACCGGAUAGGAGCUCCUGCUGCAUGGUGGGGGUUGGAAAGUUUCGGCGGUUGGGGAUGGACUCGCGGCUUAUCAGCUUGUUGGUGGGGUAGUGGCUUACCAAGGCUUUGACGGGUAGCCGGCCUGAGAGGGUGACCGGCCACAUGGGGACUGAGAUACGGCCCAGACCCCUACGGGAGGCAGCAGUGGGGAAUAUUGCACAAGGGGCGGAAGCCUGAUGCAGCAACGCCGCGUGCGGGAUGACGGCCUUCGGGUUGUAAACCGCUUUCGCCUGUGACGAAGCGUGAGUGACGGUAAUGGGUAAAGAAGCACCGGCUAACUACGU
Molecule: ribosomal RNA, 467 nt
Filed under: uncultured bacterium
Lineage: Bacteria
Description: partial 16S ribosomal RNA
Rfam family: Bacterial small subunit ribosomal RNA
Source: RNAcentral